UACGAAGGGGGCGAGCGUUGUUCGGAUUUACUGGGCGUAAAGGGCGCGCAGGCGGCUUUUCAAGUCAGGCGUGAAAGCCCCGGGCUUAACCUGGGAACUGCGUCUGGGACUGAGAGGCUUGAGAUCGGGAGUGGAGAGUGGAAUUCCCAGUGUAGAGGUGAAAUUCGUAGAUAUUGGGAAGAACACCGGUGGCGAAGGCGGCUCUCUGGACCGAUACUGACGCUGAGACACGAAAGCGUGGGUAGCAAACAGG
This 253-nucleotide ribosomal RNA is filed under the name uncultured bacterium. Its description in RNAcentral is "partial 16S ribosomal RNA". It matches the Rfam family "Bacterial small subunit ribosomal RNA", at positions 524 to 776 of the family's 1533-position model. The record is from RNAcentral.